ACAGAGGGUGCAAGCGUUAAUCGGAAUUACUGGGCGUAAAGCGCGCGUAGGUGGUUUGUUAAGUUGGAUGUGAAAGCUCCGGGCUCAACCUGGGAACUGCAUCCAAAACUGGCAAGCUAGAGUAUGGUAGAGGGUGGUGGAAUUUCCUGUGUAGCGGUGAAAUUCGUAGAUAUAAGUAAGCACACCAGUUUCUGCGGCGACCACCUGGACUAGUACUGACGCUGAGGUGCGAAAGCGUGGGGAGCAAACAG
RNAcentral lists this ribosomal RNA (251 nucleotides) under uncultured prokaryote. RNAcentral describes it as "partial 16S rRNA". It matches the Rfam family "Bacterial small subunit ribosomal RNA", at positions 525 to 775 of the family's 1533-position model. The record is from RNAcentral.